UGAAGUCUAAAAAAACCCCCAGAUUUUUCCUAAGUUUCUGAUUCAUGGUGAGUAAGGAGGAGGUGAAGGUCCGGAGGCGAUCUUCUCAUAGGCUGGAGGAGCAUUAGGAAUCUGGAAGAGAGAAGAAACAUCUGAUGUUGCUGAGUUCGUUCAAGGCCAUUUUGUUCUCCUCUCCUGAUCCAGACUCGCUGAACUGACCCGCUCUCAUCAUCUCCCUCCACGACUGACCACCAUUUCGGCCGCUCUGAAAAACAAACACAUGAGAGAUUCUUUGUGAGGAUAAAUCCAGAGGAUACAACAUAAUGCAGUGCAAAACUUCGGGAGAAAUGGUGAAGAUGCACUGUUCCAGCAUUGGAAGACUGUAUGAUUGUGUUAUACAUGCAGUGUUUUAAAUAAAG
Labeo rohita (rohu) is the source of this 398-nucleotide long non-coding RNA. RefSeq lists it as uncharacterized. The transcript is spliced from 3 exons. The record is from RefSeq and is a predicted model, not a curated record. NCBI's taxonomy places the organism in Eukaryota, Metazoa, Chordata, Actinopteri, Cypriniformes, Cyprinidae.